This 293-nucleotide long non-coding RNA is filed under the name Pan troglodytes (chimpanzee). Its description in RNAcentral is "long non-coding RNA NONPTRT004596". Lineage: Eukaryota; Metazoa; Chordata; Mammalia; Primates; Hominidae. The record is from RNAcentral.
GCUUGUAACACAAAGGGUGAAUGCUUGAGAUGAUGGAAAAAAUAAAUAUUUGGGCUGUUUGUAUAUUUGUUGAUACUAAUUACUAGUUUAGUAAUCUCUUGCUCUGUUGUAGUCCCAACUCUAAAAGCUUCAAUUAUUUUGAAAUGCUGUACUAAAAUUCCAUGUAUUGACAUAGAUUUCUUGAGAUUUGGCCUGUUCUAUUUCUUAUUUUUCUUUCAUAACACUAAGUUGACUGAUUGAUCAUUAAGUUGUGCUUUGGCAGAGGCCCGAUGAUAGUGUUUUCACUACAAUCC